Molecule: ribosomal RNA, 506 nt
Filed under: uncultured bacterium
Lineage: Bacteria
Description: partial 16S ribosomal RNA
Rfam family: Bacterial small subunit ribosomal RNA
Source: RNAcentral
AGUGAACGCUGGCGGUAGGCCUAACACAUGCAAGUCGAACGGCAGCACAGAGGAGCUUGCUCCUUGGGUGGCGAGUGGCGGACGGGUGAGGAAUACAUCGGAAUCUACUCUGUCGUGGGGGAUGACGUAGGGAAACUUACGCUAAUACCGCAUACGACCUACGGGUGAAAGCAGGGGACCUUCGGGCCUUGCGCGAUUGAAUGAGCCGAUGUCGGAUUAGCUAGUUGGCGGGGUAAAGGCCCACCAAGGCGACGAUCCGUAGCUGGGCUGAGAGGAUGGUCAGCCACACUGGAACUGAGACACGGUCCAGACUCCUACGGGAGGCAGCAGUGGGGAAUAUUGGACAAUGGGCGCAAGCCUGAUCCAGCCAUACCGCGUGGGUGAAGAGGGCCUUCGGGUUGUAAAGCCCUUUUGUUGGGAAAGAAAUCCAGCUGGCUAAUACCCGGUUGGGAUGACGGUACCCAAAGAAUAAGCACCGGCUAACUUCGUGCCAGCAGCCGCCGUAA